This 246-nucleotide ribosomal RNA is filed under the name uncultured bacterium. RNAcentral's name for it is "partial 16S ribosomal RNA". It matches the Rfam family "Bacterial small subunit ribosomal RNA", at positions 116 to 354 of the family's 1533-position model. The record is from RNAcentral.
CGUAGGUAACCUGCCCCGGAGCGGGGGAGUAACAUUUGGAAACAGAUGCUAAUACCGCAUAACAAUAAAAGCCGCAUGGCUUUUAUUUGAAAGAUGGCUUUGGCUAUCACUCUGGGAUGGACCUGCGGUGCAUUAGCUAGUUGGUAAGGUAACGGCUUACCAAGGCGAUGAUGCAUAGCCGAGUUGAGAGACUGAUCGGCCACAAUGGAACUGAGACACGGUCCAUACUCCUACGGGAGGCAGCAG